GGUUGAUCCUGCCAGUAGUCAUAUGCUUGUCUAAAGGAUUAAGCCAUGCAUGUCUAAGUAUAAACUAUUUUAUACGGUGAAACUGCGAACGGCUCAUUAUAUCAGUUAUAAUCUACUUGAUCAUAAACUCUUACUUGGAUAACCGUAGUAAAACUAGAGCUAAUACAUGCUAAAAACCGUGAGCCUCUUCGGGGGUAAGCGGUGAAUUUAUUAGAUUAAAAAUCAAUGCGGGGCAUUCCAAACUGGGUCGUAUCGGAAACGGUUCGGCCUGGGUCCCGGUUAAUUGAUGAUU
This 292-nucleotide ribosomal RNA is filed under the name uncultured eukaryote. Its description in RNAcentral is "partial 18S ribosomal RNA". It matches the Rfam family "Eukaryotic small subunit ribosomal RNA", at positions 6 to 251 of the family's 1831-position model. The record is from RNAcentral.